UACGUAGGGCGCAAGCGUUAUCCGGAAUUAUUGGGCGUAAAGAGCUCGUAGGCGGUUUGUCGCGUCUGCCGUGAAAGUCCGGGGCUCAACUCCGGAUCUGCGGUGGGUACGGGCAGACUAGAGUGAUGUAGGGGAGACUGGACUUCCUGGUGUAGCGGUGAAAUGCGCAGAUAUCAGGAGGAACACCGAUGGCGAAGGCAGGUCUCUGGGCAUUAACUGACGCUGAGGAGCGAAAGCAUGGGGAGCGAACAGG
Molecule: ribosomal RNA, 253 nt
Filed under: uncultured bacterium
Lineage: Bacteria
Description: partial 16S ribosomal RNA
Rfam family: Bacterial small subunit ribosomal RNA
Source: RNAcentral